AUUGAACGCUGGCGGAAUGCUUUACACAUGCAAGUCGAACGGCAGCACGGACUUCGGUCUGGUGGCGAGUGGCGAACGGGUGAGUAAUACAUCGGAACGUGCCCGGACUGGGGGAUAACUACUCGAAAGAGUGGCUAAUACCGCAUACGAUCCAAGGAUGAAAGCGGGGGAUCGCAAGACCUCGCGCGUUUGGAGCGGCCGAUGGCAGAUUAGGUAGUUGGUGAGGUAAAGGCUUACCAAGCCUGCGAUCUGUAGCUGGUCUGAGAGGAUGAUCAGCCACACUGGGACUGAGACACGGCCCAGACUCCUACGGGAGGCAGCAGUGGGGAAUUUUGGACAAUGGGCGAAAGCCUGAUCCAGCCAUUCCGCGUGCAGGAUGAAGGCCCUCGGGUUGUAAACCUCUUUCAGCAGGGAAGAAGCGAAAGUGACGGUACCUGCAGAAGAAGUACCGGCUAACUACGUG
RNAcentral lists this ribosomal RNA (463 nucleotides) under uncultured bacterium. RNAcentral describes it as "bacterial SSU rRNA". It matches the Rfam family "Bacterial small subunit ribosomal RNA", at positions 30 to 507 of the family's 1533-position model. The record is from RNAcentral.